GAUGAAGAACGCAGCGAAAUGCGAUAAGUAAUGUGAAUUGCAGAAUUCAGUGAAUCAUCGAGUCUUUGAACGCACAUUGCGCCCCCUGGUAUUCCGGGGGGGCAUGCCUGUCCGAGCGUCAUUGCUGCCCUCAAGCACGGCUUGUGUGUUGGGCCCCCGCCCCCCGGCUUCGGGGGGCGGGCCCGAAAGGCAGCGGCGGCACCGCGUCCGGUCCUCGAGCGUAUGGGGCUUCGUCACCCGCUCUGUAGGCCCGGCCGGCGCCCGCCGGCGACCCCAAUCAAUCUUUCCAGGUUGACCUCGGAUCAGGUAGGGAUACCCGCUGAACUUAAGCAUAUCAAUAAGCGGAGGA
Molecule: unclassified non-coding RNA, 349 nt
Filed under: soil metagenome
Description: partial contains 5.8S ribosomal RNA, internal transcribed spacer 2, and large subunit ribosomal RNA
Rfam family: 5.8S ribosomal RNA (bases 1-121)
Source: RNAcentral